RNAcentral lists this ribosomal RNA (253 nucleotides) under uncultured bacterium. RNAcentral's name for it is "partial 16S ribosomal RNA". It matches the Rfam family "Bacterial small subunit ribosomal RNA", at positions 524 to 776 of the family's 1533-position model. The record is from RNAcentral.
UACGGGGGGGGCAAGCGUUGUUCGGAAUUACUGGGCGUAAAGGGCUCGUAGGCGGCCAACUAAGUCGGAGGUGAAAUCCCUCGGCUCAACUGAGGAAUUGCCUUCGAUACUGUUCGGCUUGAGUCCUGGAGAGGGUAGCGGAAUUCCCGGUGUAGCGGUGAAAUGCGUAGAGACCGGGAAGAACACCAGUGGCGAAGGCGGCUACCUGGACAGGUACUGACGCUGAAGCGCGAAAGCUAGGGGAGCAAACAGG